This 328-nucleotide long non-coding RNA is filed under the name Phaseolus vulgaris (common bean). Its description in RNAcentral is "long non-coding RNA (PVUL_LNC002588)". Lineage: Eukaryota; Viridiplantae; Streptophyta; Magnoliopsida; Fabales; Fabaceae. The record is from RNAcentral.
GUUUCUCUGGAAAACAACACUGUGGUCCAAAUAACAUCUUUACAUCUCUAUCAAGUAUUAUAGCUACACUGGUUGGUGAGUGUCCUCCUGAAAAGUUGGUGCAUGUUGUUGAGAAGCUUCAGUGCCGUGCUCAUGGUGAAGAUGGAGUUGCACCUUUUUAAAUUUGAUGUGAUCUUGUUUCAGCUACUCUAGAACUUCCUUUGCAUCUUUUUAAAAGUAGUUUUAGAAGAAAGUUUUACUCUAUAGUUAUGUGAUGUUUUAAUGUCUAAAAUAUUAGUUAUUAUUUGACUGUAAACCAAACGCUUUUUUAUUUUGGUUUGUAAACAAA